UCUCUAAGCGGUAUAUGCAUUAGCAACGUAUACUUUCCAUUCCAGGAAUUUAAUAAGCUGGACUCAAGAAAUCCAACAGCAAAAAUGAGAGGAAACCAAUCUUAGAAAUUAAAAUCAAAACCUUCUCAACACACAAAUUGACUCUAUGACCAAGGUCACCUCAGUAGAAUUUCAGAGUUUAAGGGUUAAUGUAAAUCAACAUUCUAAACAUGAUGUUAAACGAAACGGGACGACAAACUUCUACAACACUUAGUGCCAGCAUCUAGUAGACGAUAACAACAAAUCCAUAAGAAAAAAAAUAAAACAAAAACUUAUUAUGCAUGACAUCUAUUCAUCCUAAACUCAAAACACUGGCGUGAAACAACAACAACAUCACAAUGGCAUGAAAGUUUACAAAGAAUCCUACAGUAAAUCAAAUAACCAAAAAAAAUUAUGGUCUUAGAAUGCCGUUACCCACUGUGAUGUUGAAUAGUCAAUGUUGAUGAGCUUGCGUCACUGUAGGUUAGACUUCUUGAGGAUAUCAGAGUCCGAGUUGUCCAUUUCGCGCUCGGUUACGGACAGGCGGAGGGAGGAGCUCCUGGACACCGUUUAUCGUUGGGUUGCGAUGCUGCGGCGGCGAUGGUUUUGUGGUCGGAGGAUGAUGAAGAUGGACUGUAAGGUUUUUUCGGUGAUGAGUGAGCGGUGGAGGGUUUCGAAGCGAUUGAUGGUGGGUUCACUGCGGCGAGAGCAGCGAUGGAGUGAGAGGGUCGAUUUAGGGUUUGAGGGUUUAGUGGUGAUUGAAGGAGAUUGAAGGUGGUGAGCUCGCGGUUAGUGAUGGCGGAGGUUUUAACGGCGAAGUGAGUUGUGUGGGAGGGUUGACGAUGAGGAUUUGAAGCGGCUUGAAGAUGAUUGACGGUGGAGGAGGGUUGUUUAUGGUGUGUGGCCGCGUGAUUUUGUGAGGAAGAGAGAGAAUCGUGAAGGGUUUUUGGAGAGUGAAUGAAGGAGUGUUGAAGGUGUUGAAGGGUUUGACGGUGGUUUUGUGAGGAGGCGGCGUGAAUCGCGUGAGGAUGAAGGUGAAUCUGUGAGCGAGUUUGUGAAGAAGAUGGAAAGUAGGUGGAUGGGGUUUCACGCGGCGGUGGCGAUAUGAGUGGUGGCGGUGAAGGCAGAGGUUGAUGACAGGCUACGGUGGUCUGGUUGGCGGAAGCUAUGAAGAUUGAAGGGGAGAUGAGUGAAUAGUGAGGAUUUUUUUGAGUGAUUUGUGAGUGUGUUUUCUGUGAGGGAAUCCGAGUGAGAGAGGAUAAGGGUGAGGUGUGAGUGGGUUUUUGAGUGAAAUGAGGGACGUAUCCGCGAAAUCGUGAGAGAGGAGAGGGGAUUUGCAAGGAUCGUGUGAGUGCUAGCUGGCAAAUCUAGGAGGAUCCAAUGCUAAAAUAUACUAUUAUUUAUUUAAGAAAACUAAAAUCAACAAAGAAAAAAAACUAAUUACUAUUUGAUUCUAAUUAAUAUCUAAGAAAAACUAACUAAUAUUUAAUUAAAUCACUAAUAUUUUAAAAAACUAACUAAUGUUAAAAAAAACUAACUAAUAUUUUAAGAAAUCUAACUAAUAUUCAAUUAAAUACACUCUAAUUAUUUUAAUUAAAUAUCUAAACAAAAAAUAAUGACCAAUUAAAAAUAGAAAUUGAGUACAAAUUAUUCGGAACAUUAAAUCAACCACACCAAGAUUAUCAACACAAAACACAUUAUUUGAAAAAUACACUGUUUUCCUCAAAUUUCAACGAUUCAACCGAUUUGUCUGUACUCUCCAAUAAAUUCAUUUUGAUUGACAUCUUAGGCAUUUAUUCAUGAUGCAAAUGUAUGUAAUGGUAUGUAUGUGAUGAAAAAAUAAAAUGAGAUCGAUUGUAUGAAAAAAUUUAAAUAUGCCCGGACAAAAUUGGGGUACGACACUAGAGAUGAAGUAUUUUCUUGAAAUGAGGACCACAUGAUCAUUAUAAAGAGCUUGCAUGAGCUAGGGUUUUAUUUUGAAGUCAUUUCAUCAAGUGGUAAAAGCUCAAGUUCAUCAAGGCAUUUCAAGGUCAUCUGAGGACCAAAAAGUCAACUGUGCAGUUAACUGAGGGCUAUGAGGUGGGGGAAAUGAGUUGAGACACCUCAAUGAUGUUCAAAUGAGGCCUAUUCAUCAUUCUAAACUUCCAUCUUGAAGAUUCAAAGGUCAUGGCAAAAGUUGCUAAAAAUGGAAAAUGACCUAUAAUUCAAAGUUUCCAAAUUUGGCAAGUUUUUAGUCAACUUUCAACUUGACUUGUCAAUGUCAAAGAAGUUUCAAAUGGAUUUUUGGUGAACAUGAAAGUUAUAGAUCUUUGUCUCCCCUUUCUAAAAAGUCCUAAGUCAUGUCCAUAUGAUGAAUGGUUGAGAAGGUAUGGUCAUUUGAUCACAAGGUGUGCAUGGAAAUUCAAAAUGGCAUAACUUUUGAUACAAAGCUCCAAAUUGGUCCAUUCUUUUUGCAAAAUGCUCCUCAUGUUCAAGAUAUUCCAAAUGAACCAUUGCCAUGCAUGAGAGAGAGGCUUGUAUGCU
This 2541-nucleotide long non-coding RNA is filed under the name Lathyrus oleraceus (garden pea). RNAcentral's name for it is "Pisum sativum (pea) long non-coding RNA (PSAT_LNC021626)". Lineage: Eukaryota; Viridiplantae; Streptophyta; Magnoliopsida; Fabales; Fabaceae. The record is from RNAcentral.